GAGGGUGUAGCUCAGUGGUAGAGCAUGUGCUUGGUAUGCACGAGGUCCCGAGUUCAAUCCCCAGUACCUCCA
RNAcentral lists this transfer RNA (72 nucleotides) under Camelus bactrianus (Bactrian camel). It matches the Rfam family "tRNA". From Rfam's summary of the family: Transfer RNA (tRNA) molecules are approximately 80 nucleotides in length. Their secondary structure includes four short double-helical elements and three loops (D, anti-codon, and T loops). Lineage: Eukaryota; Metazoa; Chordata; Mammalia; Artiodactyla; Camelidae. The record is from Rfam by way of RNAcentral. RNAcentral also lists the same sequence under 2 other names.